UAUUCCGAAAAUAUCCCUGCCCCUCAACUCUUAACCCUUCACUGGUUUGAUGCCGUUUCGGCAAUCACGAGACGAGACGCCUCGAUUCAGCAGAUAAUAAAACAAGGCUCCCGCCCGCCAGUCACGCCAGUGCCUCUCACUGCUUGCAGUUGCACUGCCGCCAAACCUCAUUCCCGCCUCAUCCUACAGUCACGGGUGGCCCAUCCAUUGUCUCGUCGCCGCUGUUCCUCGAGCGACUCUUUCCCUGCUCUGUCUUCUUCACUGCUUCUUUUAACUGUCGUUGCUCUUCUCCCCGCCACUUUCACCAAUGUUGUUUCCCAUUGCUUCCUUCCACUUGCCAUCAAUCUCAUUCGUCGGACUUCCUCCGUCCACUGCCAUCCCUUCAGCCCGACAAUUUCCUUCACGCCUUGUAUUUAUACUUCCCCCAUCCAUUACUUUCUCCGCUUCUGGCUUCUCCGACCAGACACUCCGCCUAUGAUCCUCGUGCAGCCGCCUUCGCCACCGGCCUCCUCUUGGCCCAACCCACGCCUACCCUUCAACGCCACAGUGCUGAGGUUGGCUGCUUCUACCUACCCAACCACCGUGCGUGUACCCGCUAACCUAUACGUGUCUUUUCACCGAUUCCCCAUCGUCCCUGUCCACGGAGUGGUCCCGCGAAUCGUGCCUUUUUAUAUUGCUUCACACACGUUCAGACUCUCCUCCAUGUCUAUCUCCAAACUGCUCCAUUUUUCCCGCCCUGAAGCUGCUUGAUCAAAUGCCUAUCACAGUCAUCCCAUUCUUUUCAGCGCCGGUUGAUCGAAUUUUGCACCAAAUAGAUGAAGUGUCACUUCAAUUUUUAUCGGUGUUUUCGGUUUCUACAGGAGACAUGAGUUGCCCUGUUGAAAUUCUAAAAGUGAUUGUGUAAUCUAUCACUUCAGAAAAGAAACAAAAGGAAACUGUACCGACUUACUGCACAGUUACAUACACGAUCCUUCCAACUUUUUGCAUUUGGCCAUUCUUUUGGAUCUGCAAUCCACCUAUUAAUUGGAUCAAGAAAUGCUGUGCAAAAAAAUGGGAUCUUGUUGAUGCCAUUCGAUAGCAAGGUAUUCCUUUAUCCUCACCUAUACUUGUUUCAAUGGCAGUAAAACCAUUUUUAUUACAUAUUACAUCAUCACCAACAGCCCAACUAGGCUAAGGAAAUGAACUCUGUUCUGCUUGUUUUCAUUAUUAAUGGGGCUCUGGCAAAUAAUUCACCAGCUAAUAUAAGGCUUAAGAAAUCUUAUGGCAUGAGGUACUCUGCAAUGACGUCAAUAUCCUAUACGAUUUUACCCAUCAUUUAUAAGGAUUUAUUCUGGGUUUUCAACUAAAGUUGAUCACUGUGGUGAUGCACCCAAGGAGAGGGCGCCAUCAAUGAGUGUUGAUUAUGAGAAGACAAGGCCACUUUAUUCCAGCUGGAUACCUUAGUUUAGCUAAUAAACUGCACAUUUGUGGCUGUACUUUUGGAUUAUUCUAUUUACUGGAGUGCUGAUAAUAAUGAUCAUGGGUCUGCAUAAAAUCUGUAAGCUAUUGUCUUUUAAGUUUCUUCUACACUUGCUUCAGCCAAUGUUUGAUCGAACUUCUAAUUUUAUUAUUGCCUUGUAUGAAUCAGAAACUUUCACAAGAUGCAUCAUGGGCCCAUUACAUGCUUAUCUUUGGUCAAGAUCAGCUUUAUUUUAAAUGGUCUUACUUCAUGAAUCAGGACCAUAAAGGUAUUGAAUCUUUCAUCGGAUAAGUGCCCAUCUAUGCUAAGGCCCUAAGAAUUGAUCGCUUUCAUCUUAUUCAAUUACUUAUACCAUCAGUUGGCAGUGGCAGUUGGGCUUGACCCAAAUAGAAAAUUAAAUUGGCAUUAACACCGCUGUUUUCACUUAGAUAGUAUUCCCCUAUGGAUUGAAGAUGAUAGAUUAGGAGCUUAACUAUAUUUCAUAUUAUUUUAUUAAUGUAGCUAAUACCCAUUUGGUCGAUUUCAUUUUUGAUAGUCAAUAGUUUUCUGUUCUCCUUUUUUUUAUUAACUAUUUAUUUUCACUUUUUCUCUGCUGCUUGAAGGAGCAUGAGUUGUGAUUGAAGCAAAUCGAUUUCUAUGGAUUAUUGGUGUCGAAGAAAUUCUUCGAGUGAUGAUGUUUCCAUUAUGAGGUAUUGCAGGGACAUCUUUAGGAGUGGGUUUUGCAAUCCCAGCUUCUUCUUUUUUUUUUUUUUUCUAGAGAAACAGAACCCAGGCCCAUUCGAUCCCAUCUUCUACUGGAAUUGGUGGGUGUUCACUGUUCAGUUAUCUAAUUUAUCAUCACAUGUCUCUGCAAAUCGCAGCCAUUAACCCUCCAAGUCCAUGCGACCAGCCUGACCAGAUCUGCUGAUCCUUAGAUCCAUCAGGAUUUUUUUUGGUUUCAUCACCGCACAAUCUUCUUGCUAAAGACUUCUGGGAUAAUGAGGGCUUGAUCUGGAAACUCAUAUAUAUGGAGAUGGGGAGGGCCUCAUAGAAUCCAAAAGUUCCUUUGGAUUGCGAUGCGGCCCAUAAUUGACUUCUCACUAAUAGUCUUCAUGCUUCGUGGAACUUUUCUCACUCUUGCCUGUGCAGCUGCUGCAGUUCAGGGGUGGAGUCUUUCAUUCAAGUGUUCCGGGACUGUGUCUAUGGGUAAGCUAUGUGGGAGACCAUUGUCCCGCAGGUAUUCCGUGAUUCUUUCUUCUCUCCUCCCCUCUUGGACUGGCUUACUUUCAACUUCCUCUCUAGAGGUGUUGUUCUCGUGCUGCCCCGUCUUAUUGGGCAAGUGUAUUUGCUAUGGCCUGUUGUUUAUUAUGGUCUGGGCAGAACGAGGAGCUUUCUGAACAGAAUUUUUCUGAACAGAAUUUUUCUGAACGGCUGCUUCCUUCCAGCCGGCUUACAACGAUUGCUGUCGUUUGUUGGGACCUAUUAGGGCGUGCAAAUUAGAGGGCUGGAAGAUGUUAGGACCACUCGGAGAUGUUGCCAAUUCAAGUCGAUGAUGCCAUCCAAGUUGGAAGAUUUAUUUAUUUUUAAAUAAAAAAUUAAUUCCAGGAAUAUCUUUAAGUCAUAGCUUCAUAUAUAUAUACAUGUCCAUGAAAGUAGUGUGGGUGGAAGUAGGCUAAUUAUUCAAACUCACUCAUUUUGGUUUCUUUGAAGUACUUUGAACUGAAAUUUGUACAUUGAGCAAUUUGUUAAUUUUGCUUUAAGAUACUGGAUUUGAGUAAUAUGCUUGAGUCUUGUUAUUCUUAUCUAUUUAGGUGAAUUAACGAGAACUAUUUUUUGA
Molecule: non-coding RNA, 3275 nt
Organism: Punica granatum (pomegranate)
Lineage: Eukaryota; Viridiplantae; Streptophyta; Magnoliopsida; Myrtales; Lythraceae
Source: RefSeq, a predicted model, not a curated record